ACAGGGAUUGCCCUAGUAACGGCGAGUGAAGCGGCAACAGCUCAAAUUUGAAAUCUGGCUCUUUCAGAGUCCGAGUUGUAAUUUGCAGAGGGCGCUUUGGCUUUGGCAGCGGUCCAAGUUCCUUGGAACAGGACGUCACAGAGGGUGAGAAUCCCGUACGUGGUCGCUAGCUAUUGCCGUGUAAAGCCCCUUCGACGAGUCGAGUUGUUUGGGAAUGCAGCUCUAAAUGGGAGGUAAAUUUCUUCUAAAGCUAAAUAUUGGCCAGAGACCGAUAGCGCACAAGUAGAGUGAUCGAAAGAUGAAAAGCACUUUGGAAAGAGAGUCAAACAGCACGUGAAAUUGUUGAAAGGGAAGCGCUUGCAGCCAGACUUGCUUGCAGUUGCUCAUCCGGGCUUUUGCCCGGUGCACUCUUCUGCAGGCAGGCCAGCAUCAGUUUGGGCGGUGGGAUAAAGGUCUCUGACACGUUCCUUCCUUCGGGUUGGCCAUAUAGGGGAGACGUCAUACCACCAGCCUGGACUGAGGUCCGCGCAUCUGCUAGGAUGCUGGCGUAAUGGCUGUAAGCGGCCCGUCUUGAAACACGGACCAAGGAGUCUAACAUCUAUGCGAGUGUUUGGGUGUCAAGCCCGAGCGCGUAAUGAAAGUGAACGGAGGUGGGAACCCGCAAGGGCGCACCAUCGACCGAUCCUGAAGUUUACGGAAGGAUUUGAGUAAGAGCAUGGCUGUUGGGACCCGAAAGAUGGUGAACUAUGCUUGAAUAGGGUGAAGCCAGAGGAAACUCUGGUGGAGGCUCGCAGCGGUUCUGACGUGCAAAUCGAUCGUCAAAUUUGGGCAUAGGGCGAAAGACUAAUCGAACUAUCUAGUAGCUGGUUUCCUGC
Molecule: ribosomal RNA, 875 nt
Filed under: Curvularia hominis
Lineage: Eukaryota; Fungi; Ascomycota; Dothideomycetes; Pleosporales; Pleosporaceae
Description: eukaryotic LSU rRNA
Rfam family: Eukaryotic large subunit ribosomal RNA
Source: RNAcentral